This 62-nucleotide transfer RNA is filed under the name Dorcus tanakai. RNAcentral describes it as "tRNA-Tyr". The record is from RNAcentral. Lineage: Eukaryota; Metazoa; Arthropoda; Insecta; Coleoptera; Lucanidae.
GGUAAGAUGGCUGAGAAUAGGCAAUAAGCUGUAAACUUAUUUAUGAAUUAUAUUCUUUUACC